GGUGACCUCGAUCAGUAGGGAUACCCGCU
This 29-nucleotide ribosomal RNA is filed under the name Teratosphaeria macowanii. Its description in RNAcentral is "partial 26S ribosomal RNA". The record is from RNAcentral. Lineage: Eukaryota; Fungi; Ascomycota; Dothideomycetes; Mycosphaerellales; Teratosphaeriaceae.